Molecule: ribosomal RNA, 1423 nt
Filed under: Pediococcus pentosaceus
Lineage: Bacteria; Bacillati; Bacillota; Bacilli; Lactobacillales; Lactobacillaceae
Description: bacterial SSU rRNA
Rfam family: Bacterial small subunit ribosomal RNA
Source: RNAcentral
GCAGUCGAACGAACUUCCGUUAAUUGAUUAUGACGUACUUGUACUGAUUGAGAUUUUAACACGAAGUGAGUGGCGAACGGGUGAGUAACACGUGGGUAACCUGCCCAGAAGUAGGGGAUAACACCUGGAAACAGAUGCUAAUACCGUAUAACAGAGAAAACCGCAUGGUUUUCUUUUAAAAGAUGGCUCUGCUAUCACUUCUGGAUGGACCCGCGGCGUAUUAGCUAGUUGGUGAGGUAAAGGCUCACCAAGGCAGUGAUACGUAGCCGACCUGAGAGGGUAAUCGGCCACAUUGGGACUGAGACACGGCCCAGACUCCUACGGGAGGCAGCAGUAGGGAAUCUUCCACAAUGGACGCAAGUCUGAUGGAGCAACGCCGCGUGAGUGAAGAAGGGUUUCGGCUCGUAAAGCUCUGUUGUUAAAGAAGAACGUGGGUAAGAGUAACUGUUUACCCAGUGACGGUAUUUAACCAGAAAGCCACGGCUAACUACGUGCCAGCAGCCGCGGUAAUACGUAGGUGGCAAGCGUUAUCCGGAUUUAUUGGGCGUAAAGCGAGCGCAGGCGGUCUUUUAAGUCUAAUGUGAAAGCCUUCGGCUCAACCGAAGAAGUGCAUUGGAAACUGGGAGACUUGAGUGCAGAAGAGGACAGUGGAACUCCAUGUGUAGCGGUGAAAUGCGUAGAUAUAUGGAAGAACACCAGUGGCGAAGGCGGCUGUCUGGUCUGCAACUGACGCUGAGGCUCGAAAGCAUGGGUAGCGAACAGGAUUAGAUACCCUGGUAGUCCAUGCCGUAAACGAUGAUUACUAAGUGUUGGAGGGUUUCCGCCCUUCAGUGCUGCAGCUAACGCAUUAAGUAAUCCGCCUGGGGAGUACGACCGCAAGGUUGAAACUCAAAAGAAUUGACGGGGGCCCGCACAAGCGGUGGAGCAUGUGGUUUAAUUCGAAGCUACGCGAAGAACCUUACCAGGUCUUGACAUCUUCUGACAGUCUAAGAGAUUAGAGGUUCCCUUCGGGGACAGAAUGACAGGUGGUGCAUGGUUGUCGUCAGCUCGUGUCGUGAGAUGUUGGGUUAAGUCCCGCAACGAGCGCAACCCUUAUUACUAGUUGCCAGCAUUAAGUUGGGCACUCUAGUGAGACUGCCGGUGACAAACCGGAGGAAGGUGGGGACGACGUCAAAUCAUCAUGCCCCUUAUGACCUGGGCUACACACGUGCUACAAUGGAUGGUACAACGAGUCGCGAGACCGCGAGGUUAAGCUAAUCUCUUAAAACCAUUCUCAGUUCGGACUGUAGGCUGCAACUCGCCUACACGAAGUCGGAAUCGCUAGUAAUCGCGGAUCAGCAUGCCGCGGUGAAUACGUUCCCGGGCCUUGUACACACCGCCCGUCACACCAUGAGAGUUUGUAACACCCAAAGCCGGUGGGGUA